GUAGGUGGCAAGCGUUGUCCGGAAUUAUUGGGCGUAAAGCGCGCGCAGGCGGUUCUUUAAGUCUGAUGUGAAAGCCCACGGGCUCAACCGUGGAGGGUCAUUGGAAACUGGAGAACUUGAGUACAGAAGAGGAAAGCGGAAUUCCACGUGUAGCGGUGAAAUGCGUAGAGAUGUGGAGGAACACCAGUGGCGAAGGCGGCUUUCUGGUCUGUAACUGACGCUGAGGCGCGAAAGCGUGGGGAGCAAACAGGAUUGGAUACCCUGGUAGUCCACGCCGUAAACGAUGAGUGCUAAGUGUUAGGGGGUUUCCGCCCCUUAGUGCUGCAGCUAACGCAUUAAGCACUCCGCCUGGGGAGUACGGCCGCAAAGGCUG
RNAcentral lists this ribosomal RNA (373 nucleotides) under uncultured organism. RNAcentral describes it as "partial 16S ribosomal RNA". It matches the Rfam family "Bacterial small subunit ribosomal RNA", at positions 527 to 896 of the family's 1533-position model. The record is from RNAcentral.